GUGCUAAGUGUUGGAGGGUUCCGCCCUUCAGUGCUGCAACUAACGCAUUAAGCACUCCGCCUGGGGAGUACGACCGCAAGGUUGAAACUCAAAGGAAUUGACGGGGGCCCGCACAAGCGGUGGAGCAUGUGGUUUAAUUCGAUGCUACGCGAAGAACCUUACCAGGUCUUGACAUCUUCUGCCAACCUAAGAGAUUAGGCGUUCCCUUCGGGGACAGAAUGACAGGUGGUGCAUGGUUGUCGUCAGCUCGUGUCGUGAGAUGUUGGGUUAAGUCCCGCAACGAGCGCAACCCUUAUUGUUAGUUGCCAGCAUUCAGUUGGGCACUCUAGCAAGACUGCCGGUGACAAACCGGAGGAAGGUGGGGAUGACGUCAAAUCAUCAUGCCCCUUAUGACCUGGGCUACACACGUGCUACAAUGGACGGUACAACGAGUCGCGAAACCGCGAGGUCAAGCUAAUCUCUUAAAGCCGUUCUCAGUUCGGAUUGUAGGCUGCAACUCGCCUACAUGAAGUUGGAAUCGCUAGUAAUCGUGGAUCAGCAUGCCACGGUGAAUACGUUCCCGGGCCUUGUACACACCGCCCGUCACACCAUGAGAGUUUGUAACACCCAAAGCCGGUGAGGUAACCUUCGGGGACCAGCCGUCUAAGGUGGGACAGAUGAUUAGGGUGAAGUCGUAACAAGGUAGCCGUAG
This 691-nucleotide ribosomal RNA is filed under the name Lentilactobacillus sunkii. Its description in RNAcentral is "bacterial SSU rRNA". It matches the Rfam family "Bacterial small subunit ribosomal RNA", at positions 813 to 1505 of the family's 1533-position model. Lineage: Bacteria; Bacillati; Bacillota; Bacilli; Lactobacillales; Lactobacillaceae. The record is from RNAcentral.